UUUCUAGGGUUUGCUCUUCCAUUCUUCUUCCAUUUUUCAUCUAGUUUCACCAUGUCUAUGGUGAACUACCCUAUUGUUGCUGGGGAAAACAAUGUCAUCUUUUGAUACUCUCUCUUAUUGAAACUAUUGAUUAUUUAUAUGGUCUCCAUAUGUUUCGAUUGAUUAUUGUUGGGUUAUCAUCUGUGCUUAAGGCCUUUAUCGUUUAACUCAUUCGGUACAUUGAUGUUUGUCUUUAUUGAUAUGGGGACGUACAGUAAUGACAUGAACUGGUAGUAAUCUCUUGAUUUUGCAAUACCACCUAGGGAUAGGGGUAGGACGAUCAAUUGCGCUAACUUAUGUUUAUAAUGCGGUAUUAAUUACUAGGGGAGGCUAGGGAUAGCAAGCUAGUAGUUAAUAUUAGGCCCUUUUCGCCGAGGGAUCGGGUCGAGGGGAGGCUAAGAAAGUCGCAUAACAAUUGAAUCAAUCAACUAAUAUUCAAGGGUAGUAUGUAAGAGAGAGUGGAAUAGAUGAAAUUGUUAGUACCCAACAACAUCCAUUCAUCCAUUGUUUUCGUUUGUCAAUUGAAUCAACUUUAGUUUUUUAUGUUAAUAUUUUUGUUCUCAAAUCCAAUUUAUUAAUUUUUAUUUUUCAAGUCUUAUUAUUUUAAUUCACGCGAACGAGAAAGCCACACGAGUCUCUUGGGAAAACGAUACUUGGUCUUACCAUUUAUAUUACUUGUACGAUUUGGUACACUUGCCAAUUUGUCAACACU
This 751-nucleotide long non-coding RNA is filed under the name Vigna radiata. RNAcentral's name for it is "long non-coding RNA (VRAD_LNC008331)". Lineage: Eukaryota; Viridiplantae; Streptophyta; Magnoliopsida; Fabales; Fabaceae. The record is from RNAcentral.